CUUCUUUGUCUCUCCAUUUUCCUUUUUAUUCUCCAGUCUUCUAGUUCUGCAUUUUCAAGCAAAGAGGAGAAGAAGAAGAAGCCGUGAGCAAUCCUAGCUGCCAUCGUUCCACCUUGUGCCGUGAUAGUGAAGCCUUGCUUUCAAGAUUCAAGAUCAACGUCUCAAGUUCUUCAUCAUCCACUCCAUUCACGGUGUGUACCCUCAUUCCCCGGAUAGAACGAUCCCUACUUUCUUUAUACUAACAUUUGACAACAGGGUUAAAUUGCGUGCUACUUUGAGCGUGUCAAUUUUUGGCGCCGUUGCCGGGGAAUUGAAAAAUCACUUGUUAAAUUGUGUCAUUUAUUUUAUUUAUUUGUUUUUUUUAAAAUUUGUUUGAAACUUAGUUUAAAUUAACUAGGAUGUUAUUUAUAUUGUUGAACGCAAGUUUUAAUUGUAAGUUGUAAAUUGAGAGGAAUAGGUGAAGUCUCUUUUGUUAAUAUUGGCCUAAACCCCUUAAUGGUACCUAGUUUAGGUCCCUUGAGGUUGAGAGCGGCCUUUAUUAACACUUGUUGAACUGUCUUCACACUUAUGAUCUUUUUCAUCUCUGUAAGUAUAUAUAGCCUAUGUGGAAUGGUGUCUAGAAAGGGGACAACGUUCAUGACGGGUUUUAGAAUCCAGAAGUGUUUGCAAAUGGGCCUAAACCACUAUGUGGGAGUAGCUCAUGCCAAAAUGGAUUUUUCCUCUCGUGUUCGUCCUCCCCCACCUGGCUAUUUCACUAAGGUUGCCCAAUGGAUGUAGGCAAAAAAUCACAAAUGGUCACUGAGUUUUCACCCAUUCGACACUUAACUCACUGACAUUUCAAAAAACCACUUUAACUCACUCACUUUAUGCACCGUUUAUCAUUUAACUCACUGCCGUCUAUACAAUUCUAUAAACUAGGCACAUGAUCCAUCACGUGCACUUACUAGAGGGGCAUUAUUGUCCAAUCUGGGUCUUACUCACUAUUGUACAGUAUUCCCUCCAAAAUGAGUUUAAUUUUCCCUCCAUAUCCAUUCCUCUCUCAAUGAAUCGGUUAAAAUCAUACAUUUAUGCCUUAAUUACUCUCCUUCAGAUAUUUCAUUGAAACCCAUGUCUUUAAAACAUUUAAUUUCUCAACAAGGAAUGAUGGAAACAAGUUGAAAAAACACAUGUUCAGAAUGAUGAUAAUGAAAUUGAUAAUUAAAUUGCACUUAAACCAAAUUGUUGUCUAGUUGUUGAAGCAUACAAAAGAUAAAAGGUUGAGUAUAUAGUAGCAGUUAUGAAGCCUAACAUCAAUUAUGAUUACAAAAGCUCAACCUUAAAUUACAAAAUGCAAUGUCAUCUAAUCCCAGCUUCAACAAGACUAUUGCUUAAUAGAGCUAAAAAAACAAAAGCAGAAACCAAUUUAGGUUCAUGGCUUCCAAUUUGGCUUGCGCUGAGAUCUUUCAUUUGGUGCAGGGGCUUUGUUGCGCUGAAUUCUCAUAGGUAUUUGCUUCUUUGCUGGUGACUUAGUCUGCAUUAGCCUCCCUAUCUCAGAGGAUGAUCCGAUAACACUUGGCUGUGAAGACGAUUGAGGAUGAGGGUAAACUUGUGACAUAGAUAGGUUUGUAAAAAGUGGUUGCGAUGAAGUAGCUCCCACACUUGAGGGUGUUUGUAUAUGCACCUGCAAGCAUUUUUCAUUCAUCGUUUAAUUAACCUUCUCUAUCAUUAAUUAAA
Rosa rugosa (rugosa rose) is the source of this 1713-nucleotide long non-coding RNA. RefSeq lists it as uncharacterized. Lineage: Eukaryota; Viridiplantae; Streptophyta; Magnoliopsida; Rosales; Rosaceae. The record is from RefSeq and is a predicted model, not a curated record. The transcript is spliced from 2 exons.